AAAAGCAAGAAACAGAAACAGAAAGAGAAGGAGAUUUUGUCAGCUGAUUGUGGAUGAUCCCUGCUGCAGCAUUUUUUUUUUUUUUUUGGGCUCGUUCCUUCUUCCUUCUUCUAUUGUAUUAU
RNAcentral lists this non-coding RNA (122 nucleotides) under Heterosigma akashiwo. Lineage: Eukaryota; Raphidophyceae; Chattonellales; Chattonellaceae. The record is from RNAcentral.